UCUAAUAUGGCAGAAUAGUGCAAUAGAUUUAAGCUCUAUAAAUAAAGAAUAUUUUAACUUUUAUUAGAA
Molecule: transfer RNA, 69 nt
Filed under: Procecidochares utilis
Lineage: Eukaryota; Metazoa; Arthropoda; Insecta; Diptera; Tephritidae
Description: tRNA-Leu
Source: RNAcentral